AGAAACACCAGGGAUACCUCCCCUCACCCGCUCCUUCUCUCUCUCUCCCUCUACCCCUCUCCCAUGAGAGGACACAGCCAGAAGGAGGCCAUCUGCAAGCCAAGGAGAGAAUCCUCACCAGCCAUGGAAUCUGUAGGCACCUUGAUCUUGGACUUCCAGCCUCCAGAGCUAUGGAAGCCAGCCGUCGGGGCACACACACAUUACAAGGAUCCCAGCCAGGCCCAGGAGGGGAAGCAAGGACACCCUAGAGGCAGAGGGCACUGGCAGGAUUUUUCAUGGGCCAAUCUGCUGAAUUCAGCCUAGGAGCUGAGGCCAACAUCUGAGUUUCCUCAGCACACAGGUUUGAAAGAAGUCCUAGCAACUUCAAGCUCAGAACCAUGGGUGGCAGUGGCUCUCUCUCCCUUUCCAGAGAGAGUCAAGGUUUGGAUCAAACAAAGCCCACAAGCACCAAUGACCGAGCUGCUGACUACUCCAACAUCUCCAACUCAACCUCCUCUUUCUGCCUCUACCCAAAUUUUAAAACUUUUAAAUAUGGGUUUAAAAAUGGUGAUGAGUAAAGUUGCAUCCAAAUGUAUCAAAUAAAAUUAAAUAUCCAUAAA
This is a long non-coding RNA of Rhinopithecus roxellana (golden snub-nosed monkey), 599 nucleotides long. RefSeq lists it as uncharacterized. Lineage: Eukaryota; Metazoa; Chordata; Mammalia; Primates; Cercopithecidae. The record is from RefSeq and is a predicted model, not a curated record. The transcript has 3 exons.